Molecule: ribosomal RNA, 433 nt
Filed under: uncultured bacterium
Lineage: Bacteria
Description: partial 16S ribosomal RNA
Rfam family: Bacterial small subunit ribosomal RNA
Source: RNAcentral
AACGAACGCUGGCGGCAUGCCUAACACAUGCAAGUCGAACGAGACCUUCGGGUCUAGUGGCGCACGGGUGCGUAACGCGUGGGAACCUGCCCUUAGGUUCGGAAUAACUCCCCGAAAGGGGUGCUAAUACCGGAUAAUGUCUUCGGACCAAAGAUUUAUCGCCUUUGGAUGGGCCCGCGUUGGAUUAGCUAGUUGGUAGGGUAAAAGCCUACCAAGGCGACGAUCCAUAGAUGGUCUGAGAGGAUGAUCAGCCACACUGGGACUGAGACACGGCCCAGACUCCUACGGGAGGCAGCAGUGGGGAAUAUUGGACAAUGGGCGAAAGCCUGAUCCAGCAAUGCCGCGUGAGUGAUGAAGGCCUUAGGGUUGUAAAGCUCUUUUACCCGGGAUGAUAAUGACAGUACCGGGAGAAUAAGCGCCGGCUAACUCCGUG